UGAUACUAAGCCAUGCGAGUCAUUGUAGCAAUACAAGGCAUACGGCUCAGUAACGCGUAGUCAACCUAACCUAUGGACGGGAAUAACCUCGGGAAACUGAGAAUAAUGCCCGAUAGAACAUUAUGCCUGGAAUGGUUUAUGUUCCAAAUGAUUUAUCGCCGUAGGAUGGGACUGCGGCCUAUCAGUUUGUUGGUGAGGUAAUGGCCCACCAAGACUAUUACAGGUACGGGCUCUGAGAGGAGUAGCCCGGAGAUGGGUACUGAGACACGGACCCAGGCCCUAUGGGGCGCAGCAGGCGAGAAAACUUUGCAAUGUGCGAAAGCACGACAAGGUUAAUCCGAGUGGUUUCUGCUAAAGGAACUUUUUGUCAGUCCUAGAAACACUGAUGAAUAAGGGGUGGGCAAGUUCUGGUGUCAGCCGCCGCGGUAAAACCAGCACCUCAAGUGGUCAGGAUGAUUAUUGGGCCUAAAGCAUCCGUAGCCGGCUCUGUAAGUUUUCGGUUAAAUCUGUACGCUCAACGUACAGGCUGCCGGGAAUACUGCAAAGCUAGGGAGUGGGAGAGGUAGACGGUACUCGGUAGGAAGGGGUAAAAUCCUUUGAUCUAUUGAUGACCACCUGUGGCGAAGGCGGUCUACCAGAACACGUCCGACGGUGAGGGAUGAAAGCUGGGGGAGCAAACCGGAUUAGAUACCCGGGUAGUCCCAGCUGUAAACCAUGCAAACUCAGUGAUGCAUUGGCUUGUGGCCAAUGCAGUGCUGCAGGGAAGCCGUUAAGUUUGCCGCCUGGGAAGUACGUACGCAAGUAUGAAACUUAAAGGAAUUGGCGGGGGAGCACCACAAGGGGUGAAGCCUGCGGUUCAAUUGG
RNAcentral lists this ribosomal RNA (864 nucleotides) under uncultured archaeon. RNAcentral's name for it is "bacterial SSU rRNA". It matches the Rfam family "Archaeal small subunit ribosomal RNA", at positions 39 to 909 of the family's 1478-position model. The record is from RNAcentral.